RNAcentral lists this ribosomal RNA (501 nucleotides) under uncultured bacterium. RNAcentral describes it as "partial 16S ribosomal RNA". It matches the Rfam family "Bacterial small subunit ribosomal RNA", at positions 28 to 523 of the family's 1533-position model. The record is from RNAcentral.
GAUGAACGCUAGCGGCAGGCUUAAUACAUGCAAGUCGAGGGGCAGCACAGAUAGCAAUAUUGGGUGGCGACCGGCAAACGGGUGCGGAACACGUACACAACCUUCCUUUUAGUGUGGGAUAGCCCAGAGAAAUUUGGAUUAAUACCACAUAGUAUAUUGGAGUGGCAUCACUUUGAUAUUAAAGAUUUAUCGCUAAAAGAUGGGUGUGCGUAUGAUUGGGUAGUUGGUAGAGGUAACGGCUCACCAAGCCUUCGAUCAUUAACUGGUGUGAGAGCACGAGCGGUCACACGGUGAGUGAGACACGGGCCCGAUUCUUAUGGGAGGAAGCAGUAAGUAAUAUUGGUCAAUGGACGGAAAUCGUAACCAGCCAUGACGCGUGAAGGAUGUCGGCCCUCUGGGUUGUAAACUUCUUUUAUGUGGGACGAAAAAGGGCCAUUUUUGGUCAACUGACGGUACCAUAGGAAUAAGCACCGGCUAACUCCGUGCCAGCCGCCGCCGUAA